UCAUUAUGGGCCACCUCUUGUAACAUCACCAGGGGCCAUCCUUAGGUCUCAGGUAUUGAUUCUGAAAUGAAUGACAUGACAUCACUAAGUGAUACACUUUGUGACAUCACUAGGGACCACUUCUUGUAACAUCGGGAUGAGCCAUCCUUAAGUCACAGAUAAGUUAAAAAUUUGAGGCAUGUAACAAUAUGAUGGACACAAGGAAUCCUUCGGAAACAAGAAAAAAAAUAACACACAUUUCCCAUGUAAUGUGGGGAUUCAAGAGAAGCACCCAAGGAAGAGAGAUGUUCCAGUCAGAUGAUAUCCUGCUGCAUCUCUUCUGAGCAACCGUUGGAUCCAGAGAGUGUUAUAAAAAUUCCAGCAUCUGUUCCAGCGUGUGAGAUAUCUCCAGUCACGACAGUCACUUCAUACAGAAUCUGGGUGGAAAUAAAGCAACCCAUAAGUCCUUA
Molecule: long non-coding RNA, 449 nt
Organism: Anolis carolinensis (green anole)
Lineage: Eukaryota; Metazoa; Chordata; Lepidosauria; Squamata; Anolidae
Exons: 4
Source: RefSeq, a predicted model, not a curated record